CCUGUGGCCUACCGGGCCCCUGACGAGGGCAGCCGUACCAGGAACGCAAAGACGGCGCAUC
This 61-nucleotide non-coding RNA is filed under the name Olsenella sp. An188. The record is from RNAcentral. Lineage: Bacteria; Bacillati; Actinomycetota; Coriobacteriia; Coriobacteriales; Atopobiaceae. RNAcentral also lists the same sequence under 1 other name.